GCUGUAUGUACGUGACUGUCCAUCUGUACCUGUGUGUGUUUGUAAUUGUGUAUGACUGUCUGCCUCUGUGUGUUUGUGAGUGCCUGCGUGUGUGUGUGAGUGACUGCCUGCGUGUGUGUGUGAGUGACUGCCUGCUUGUGUGUGUGGCUGUCUGCCUGCCUGUGUGUGUGGCUGUCUGCCUGCUUGUGUGUGUGUGUGUGUGUGUGUGGCUGUCUGCCUGCCUGUGUGUGUG
Pelobates cultripes (western spadefoot toad) is the source of this 232-nucleotide non-coding RNA. Lineage: Eukaryota; Metazoa; Chordata; Amphibia; Anura; Pelobatidae. The record is from the annotation of a GenBank genome assembly.